CAUGGAACCCGUUGCAGAGAGUGGAGCAGGAGGGCGGCUCUUGUCGUGACUCGUCAGAGAGUGGUGGAGCUGCAUGGAACCCAUUGCAGGGAGUGGAGCAGGAGGGCGGCUCUUGUCGUGACUUGUCAGAGAGCUCUGAUCCGUCGGCUGGAGCUCGGUUGGGACAUCUGAUGGAGCGGAAUGGCUCUCUAUUGUUGGUCUGGGAGAAGCUCGGAUGUCCCUGAAGCUGCUGAUGAGUCUACUGUUGUCGGGUGGCUUAGGC
This 262-nucleotide long non-coding RNA is filed under the name Elaeis guineensis (African oil palm). RNAcentral describes it as "long non-coding RNA (EGUI_LNC063185)". Lineage: Eukaryota; Viridiplantae; Streptophyta; Magnoliopsida; Arecales; Arecaceae. The record is from RNAcentral.